Molecule: transfer RNA, 81 nt
Filed under: Phytophthora infestans (potato late blight agent)
Lineage: Eukaryota; Oomycota; Peronosporomycetes; Peronosporales; Peronosporaceae
Also listed under: 2 other names
Rfam family: tRNA
About the family: Transfer RNA (tRNA) molecules are approximately 80 nucleotides in length. Their secondary structure includes four short double-helical elements and three loops (D, anti-codon, and T loops).
Source: Rfam by way of RNAcentral
GACAGCUUGGCCGAGUGGUUAAGGCGAUAGACUAGAAAUCUAUUGGGGUAACCCGCGUGAGCUCAAAUCUCACAGCUGUCG